This is a long non-coding RNA of Arvicanthis niloticus (Nile rat), 971 nucleotides long. RefSeq lists it as uncharacterized. The record is from RefSeq and is a predicted model, not a curated record. NCBI's taxonomy places the organism in Eukaryota, Metazoa, Chordata, Mammalia, Rodentia, Muridae.
UUUUUUUUUUUUUUUUUUAAUAAAAUGUUUGUCUCUGGUGGUUUGAAAGACCCCCGUGGAUAUAGCGUGCGUAGCGUGGACCUUUGUAACCUGUUCGUAGUCUUAGCGGGGAGACCAUGUUAGGGCGUUCAAGACCUAGAGAUGGCAGGAUUUUGUGAAGGACAAAAUGGUGGCGGCAGUGCAAGGCCAUCCCCUGUGAUGAGGACCUUUUCACAGACCUGUACUGAUAUCUCUGUGAGGAUAAGUAACUCUGAGGAGGCUGGCUCUGGGCCUACAGUCUUGAGAUCCUGCAGAGAUUUCUUGGUGUAGGAAUAACCCGAAGCUGUUUCCUAUACAGGUUUGACGUGCUUGCUUACAUACAAAAGAAUGGCAGUUUACUGUCUGUACAGAAUAUGGUUAACCUCAAAGGCGUUUACACAUUGGAGCCAUGCCUGUUCAAUUUUACAAAUAGCACGUUUUGCUUGUAGUCAGGGUACUGUGACAACAUGAAGAGUUCCCGAAUUGCCUUCCAUCGUGAUUGCAGAUUUUCCUGGGGUGAUUUCUUUAUAAAGGAGGAGUUUGUUCCUGUAUACCACCAGUCUCCAGCAUCAAAAGGUUCUGUUAGCAGUGCCAUACUUGCUGAUUCAGAGAUGAUGCUGUCUGGUUAAGGACAAAGACAUGAUCAGGAAUAUAUUUGCGGGAGUUUAUAUUCACUCAAGUCGAGGCUAAGGUAAGGUCUGAAGGAAAGAACACUGUACAUGAAAGGAGCUGAAAACAUCAAAAAUCUGAGAAGAGCAGUGGGUGCUCCCUACCUCUGAGCCAUCUCUGCAGCCUGCAACGGUUAAUCUUUAUCAAGCGCUAUUGCUGAAGCAUGCUAAAAUGCUUCAUUUCCCCAUAAGAUCUUCAUUGCCUCUACACGUUGUAGGAGCUGACCAUUCCACUGUUUGUAGCUGUGAUUUGGUUCCUAGCAAUAAAUGUUUUAUGUUGUGUAA